GCGGAUCAGACCAUGCUCCUUCCACAUUGAAAGCCUGUGCUCACACUUUGAAUAUGUUGACUGAAAGACCUUCAUGAGCCGGACACGCUCCUUGGUGUUACACUUGCAGGAGUUGCCGAUGGAGGCCUGCAGUACUCUCGGAGUUGUUGGCAGCUUUAAAGGACUUGACCAAUUGGAUCUAACAGACAUCUACAGAAAAUUCCACCCAGCAAUUACAGAAUAUACAUUGUUCUCAACUGCAUGUGGAGCAUAUUCUAAGAUAAAAUAGUCAUAAAUCAAGCCUCAAUAAAUUCG
RNAcentral lists this long non-coding RNA (294 nucleotides) under Homo sapiens (human). RNAcentral's name for it is "non-protein coding lnc-ALCAM-3:1". Lineage: Eukaryota; Metazoa; Chordata; Mammalia; Primates; Hominidae. The record is from RNAcentral.